This 190-nucleotide non-coding RNA is filed under the name Desulfosporosinus acidiphilus. Lineage: Bacteria; Bacillati; Bacillota; Clostridia; Eubacteriales; Desulfitobacteriaceae. The record is from RNAcentral.
ACUAAAUAGUUUAGAAUAAGUGAUUCCUUCUUGAGGGAAGGAAUUGAAAAGGAAAGUCAGUUGAAAGCUGACACGGUACCCGCCACUGUAAAAGGGAAUCAACUCACACCAUGUCACUGGAAUUCAUCUGGGAAGACGUGAGUUGAUGAUGAUCUUAAGCCAGGAGACCUGCUUAUUCUAAGGUGAAAGC